This 253-nucleotide ribosomal RNA is filed under the name uncultured bacterium. Its description in RNAcentral is "partial 16S ribosomal RNA". It matches the Rfam family "Bacterial small subunit ribosomal RNA", at positions 524 to 776 of the family's 1533-position model. The record is from RNAcentral.
UGCGAAGGGGGCUAGCGUUGCUCGGAAUCACUGGGCGUAAAGCGCACGUAGGCGGAUUGUUAAGUCAGGGGUGAAAUCCUGGAGCUCAACUCCAGAACUGCCUUUGAUACUGGCGAUCUCGAGUCCGGGAGAGGUGAGUGGAACUGCGAGUGUAGAGGUGAAAUUCGUAGAUAUUCGCAAGAACACCAGUGGCGAAGGCGGCUCACUGGCCCGGUACUGACGCUGAGACGCGAAAGCGUGGGGAGCGAACAGG